This 21-nucleotide non-coding RNA is filed under the name Caenorhabditis elegans. Lineage: Eukaryota; Metazoa; Nematoda; Chromadorea; Rhabditida; Rhabditidae. The record is from RNAcentral.
UGUGCAAGGACCCGGCAGAUG